RNAcentral lists this ribosomal RNA (485 nucleotides) under uncultured bacterium. RNAcentral describes it as "partial 16S ribosomal RNA". It matches the Rfam family "Bacterial small subunit ribosomal RNA", at positions 28 to 507 of the family's 1533-position model. The record is from RNAcentral.
GAUGAACGCUGGCGGCGUGCUUAACACAUGCAAGUCGAACGGAAAGGCCCAAGCUUGCUUGGGUACUCGAGUGGCGAACGGGUGAGUAACACGUGGGUGAUCUGCCCUGCACUUCGGGAUAAGCCUGGGAAACUGGGUCUAAUACCGGAUAGGAUCACAUUUUGGAUGGUGUGGUGGAAAGCUUUUCGGUUUGGGAUGAGCUUGCGGCCUAUCAGCUUGUUGGUGGGGUAAAGGCCUAUCAAGGGGUCGACGGGUAGCCGGGCGUCGAGGGGGAACGGCCAUACGAGAGUGGAGGGCCGGAUUAGGACUGUAAUGCAGGCCGCAGUCCGGAAGGUGGGAGCAGUGGGGAAUGUUGGACCCUGGGAGAAAGCCUGAGGCAGGGAGGCCGCGUGGGUGAUGACGGCCUUUGUGUUGUAAGCAACUCUCGCUAUUGACGACGCGUUUUUGUGACGGUACCUGGAGAAGAAGCACCGGCUAACUACGUG